RNAcentral lists this ribosomal RNA (497 nucleotides) under uncultured bacterium. RNAcentral describes it as "partial 16S ribosomal RNA". It matches the Rfam family "Bacterial small subunit ribosomal RNA", at positions 28 to 507 of the family's 1533-position model. The record is from RNAcentral.
GAUGAACGCUGGCGGCGUGCCUAAUACAUGCAAGUCGAGCGAACAGAUGAGGAGCUUGCUCCUCUGACGUUAGCGGCGGACGGGUGAGUAACACGUGGAUAACCUACCUAUAAGACUGGGAUAACUUCGGGAAACCGGAGCUAAUACCGGAUAAUAUAUUGAACCGCAUGGUUCAAUAGUGAAAGACGGUUUUGCUGUCACUUAUAGAUGGAUCCGCGCCGCAUUAGCUAGUUGGUAAGGUAACGGCUUACCAAGGCAACGAUGCGUAGCCGACCUGAGAGGGUGAUCGGCCACACUGGAACUGAGACACGGUCCAGACUCCUACGGGAGGCAGUAGUAGGGAAUCUUCCGCAAUGGGCGAAAGCCUGACGGAGCAACGCCGCGUGAGUGAUGAAGGUCUUCAGAUCGUAAAACUCUGUUAUUAGGGAAGAACAAAUGUGUAAGUAACUAUGCACGUCUUGACGGUACCUAAUCAGAAAGCCACGGCUAACUACGUG